Molecule: long non-coding RNA, 940 nt
Filed under: Mytilus galloprovincialis (Mediterranean mussel)
Lineage: Eukaryota; Metazoa; Mollusca; Bivalvia; Mytilida; Mytilidae
Source: RNAcentral
ACCGUGUAGAACGCCACAUGCGGGGUGUCGGCUAUGUUUGACAUGGGGUGGCAAUUUUGAAGCGACGAAAAAGUAGCAAGGUAAGUUCAAGCAUCAAAAUUUCUUAUUUUUAGAACUCUCAGUACCAUAUAAUGUAUUGCACGGAAGGAACUGCAACAUAAUCUAUUUCCGGAGAGCAGAAGCAGUCGUUUUCCGUGAUCAGUUUUUUCAAACACCUCGCCCUACUUUUCCGUGUUGCAGAUUUUGAGGCUUUAUAUGCCAAUUUCGGUAUAAAAAACUACUUUACACAGCUACCCUCCGUAUCAUUUAUAUAGAAUUGUAUUCCUCUCAUUGACUUAUACCAAAUACCAGUUUCUUAGUUAAAAUCAAUUGGUUUUAAAACUGUUAUUCAUCAAAAUAUAAAGUGUCGCUCGGGGUGUCAGAUUUUGCGUCGCAAGGGGUAGAGGCUUGUCAUAAAAAAAAAAUACAUAUUUGCAUGUAAAUUUGCCUUCAUAUGAUAAAUUUUAUUUCAAACACAUCUACUUUACCAUGACAAAACAAGAUUUUUUCAUUUUGCCUGUUUUUGGUCUUACAAAAGAUAUGCUUUUGAUUUCAUUCACAUCUACUUUACCAUGACAAAAUGAGGGUUUUUCAUUUUGCCUGUUUUUGGUCUUAUAAAAACAUGUUGCUUUGAUUUCAUUCAUAGUAAAAAAAAUGGCUCAAAAUAUUUAGUUUCCAAGCUGGUAAACAAUUUCUUUUCCUUUUCAGUCACUAUCAUGGUAAAAAAAGGCAAGGCUAUGGCUCAAUAAACCAAAACAUGGUGGGAAAUCACAAAAUAGUCCUCAAUAUAAGAUAUGCCGAAGCCCCCACCAGCCAAAAUGCAUUAUAGUUCAUCACCAGGUUCAUCUAAAAAGCACUCGUGCACCCCGCCAAAAACCAUCACUCCUAAAAGAAUUAGAAC